RNAcentral lists this small RNA (42 nucleotides) under Drosophila erecta. Its description in RNAcentral is "GG26163". The record is from RNAcentral. Lineage: Eukaryota; Metazoa; Arthropoda; Insecta; Diptera; Drosophilidae.
CGAGUUUUGCUGUUUUCGUCGUCGCGUUUUCUUGGAUUUUCU